UGUUUUCCCAUUCAAUUCUCAGCUCAUAGGUCACAACCGAAGCAGAGAAUCGGUCCGUCUCACUCACACUCGCUCGCGAUAUUUCGAACACCGAUUUCUUGCAUACAUUUCUGUCAGUGCUGGGCGUGUCGCUCGGCAACACCGUGUCGGGUUCGGUGGUCCUGAUCGUAACGACCUUAGUGGCACUGAUAACUGGGAUGCCGAUCUCUUCUUAUGGAAGAAAUCGUCGGAUCCGAGCAGGAAGGUGAGACCGGUAAUACUCAAAGGAUGUUACAGCUCUUUUCUUCUAACAAGUGACAACCAACAAUGGCUUCAAUGGCAGCGUCUUCUUCUAGCACCAUCUACACCAACCUCAAGUUUUGCACCAAAUCCAACAACAGCAACAGCAACUUGAACUGAAGGGAACUCAUGUUGACAAGCAAUGAAAUAGCAACCGUUGGUGCUAUCUUCAAUUUCAGAUAACCCCUUCUUUA
Arachis ipaensis is the source of this 473-nucleotide non-coding RNA. NCBI's taxonomy places the organism in Eukaryota, Viridiplantae, Streptophyta, Magnoliopsida, Fabales, Fabaceae. The record is from RefSeq and is a predicted model, not a curated record.